RNAcentral lists this ribosomal RNA (253 nucleotides) under uncultured bacterium. RNAcentral describes it as "partial 16S ribosomal RNA". It matches the Rfam family "Bacterial small subunit ribosomal RNA", at positions 524 to 776 of the family's 1533-position model. The record is from RNAcentral.
UACGUAGGGUCCGAGCGUUGUCCGGAAUUAUUGGGCGUAAAGGGCUCGUAGGCGGUCCGUUACGUCGGGAGUGAAAACUCGGAGCUCAACUCCGAGCCUGCUUCCGAUACGGGCAGACUAGAGGUAUGCAGGGGAGAACGGAAUUCCUGGUGUAGCGGUGAAAUGCGCAGAUAUCAGGAGGAACACCGGUGGCGAAGGCGGUUCUCUGGGCAUUACCUGACGCUGAGGAGCGAAAGUGUGGGGAGCGAACAGG